Non-coding RNA from Paramormyrops kingsleyae, 877 nucleotides. NCBI's taxonomy places the organism in Eukaryota, Metazoa, Chordata, Actinopteri, Osteoglossiformes, Mormyridae. The record is from RefSeq and is a predicted model, not a curated record.
AGAUUUUUUUUGUGACACAUUUCAAACAGGUAUUUUAAAAGCACACAUUUGACCUCCAGCGCGCGCCUUUGAAAUAAUAACAUGCAGCAUUCGCGGUAACAUGCAGGCGGUCCGCCUACCGACAGAUGGCAGUGUGCGCCAAGCUUAAGCAAGGUAAAUUAACGGUGGUUUAUUUUGCACCUUUACCUAGGUAGGCUAGGUUUAAAUAAUGUAUCUACACUGAAGCUUAGGUAUGAAAUUUGCAGUCAUUUGAUUCUCAGGAGACACAUGCUAAAUAAAUACCCACUUUAUGCACCUACGAUUUUCAUGGAUAAUUGGGGGUGUUGUGGAAAAGAUCCUAGGAACUUUAAAAGCGUUAUUGUAAGAUCCCUGCGGCAGCCGCCGAGCUCAUGGAGCAGGAACGGCCCACAUGAUCAGGAUCAGCUGUGAAGGGGAGCAGGCGCCCGUCCUGCCCUGCCCCAUCCCUGCUCCCGAUGGAGCACCGAGCCCACGGGCGACACCAACAGCGGCAACGCCUGCUGAUGGAGAACAAGCAGGUGGAGGCCUAGACAGAGGCGGGGAAGGAAAGGAAUGUGAGAGCUCAGCUGGUGAUUAUCGCUUAACGUUACGGGAUGGAUCCUAAUAUGUCACACUCCUGCAAUGCAUCAUCGUGACAGAAGACAUCCUCGGAAAAAGUCAGAAGUCUUCUUGGGUUGAUCUGUUGGCCCUGCAAAAAAAAGGCAUUUAUAUACCCGUCAGUGUCGAAACACUGAUUCAAAGAUUUAAACAUGAACAUCAAUGUUCAUAUCGGGCAUAUCUGUUGGAAUUGUGAAUGAAGGGGAAAAUAAAAUUUAAGUGAUUGUGUAAUUAUUAAAACUGCUACCACAGUUUACUUGUA